GCCCCCGUAGCUCAAGUGGAUAGAGCGCCUGUCCGCCUAACGGGAGGUUGCAGGUUCGAGUCCUGCCGGGGGCG
RNAcentral lists this transfer RNA (74 nucleotides) under Gemmatimonadota bacterium. Its description in RNAcentral is "Gemmatimonadetes bacterium tRNA-Gly". It matches the Rfam family "tRNA". Rfam says of the family: Transfer RNA (tRNA) molecules are approximately 80 nucleotides in length. Their secondary structure includes four short double-helical elements and three loops (D, anti-codon, and T loops). Further hydrogen bonds mediate the characteristic L-shaped molecular structure. tRNAs have two regions of fundamental functional importance: the anti-codon, which is responsible for specific mRNA codon recognition, and the 3' end, to which the tRNAs corresponding amino acid is attached (by aminoacyl-tRNA synthetases). tRNAs cope with the degeneracy of the genetic code in two manners: having more than one tRNA (with a specific anti-codon) for a particular amino acid; and 'wobble' base-pairing, i.e. permitting non-standard base-pairing at the 3rd anti-codon position. Lineage: Bacteria; Pseudomonadati; Gemmatimonadota. The record is from RNAcentral.